RNAcentral lists this transfer RNA (64 nucleotides) under Tenebrionoidea sp. 24 KM-2017. RNAcentral describes it as "tRNA-Cys". The record is from RNAcentral. Lineage: Eukaryota; Metazoa; Arthropoda; Insecta; Coleoptera.
AAUCUAGUAUUCAAUUAUGAUAUUAAAUUGCAAAUUUAAAGGUAAUUUUUAAAAUUUUAGAUUU